RNAcentral lists this ribosomal RNA (301 nucleotides) under uncultured bacterium. Its description in RNAcentral is "partial 16S ribosomal RNA". It matches the Rfam family "Bacterial small subunit ribosomal RNA", at positions 509 to 807 of the family's 1533-position model. The record is from RNAcentral.
CAGUAGCCGCGGUAAUACGUAGGGUGCGAGCGUUAAUCGGAAUUACUGGGCGUAAAGCGUGCGCAGGCGGUUGUGUAAGACGGGUGUGAAAUCCCCGGGCUUAACCUGGGAACUGCGCUUGUGACUGCACAGCUAGAGUAUGGCAGAGGGGGGUGGAAUUCCACGUGUAGCAGUGAAAUGCGUAGAGAUGUGGAGGAACACCGAUGGCGAAGGCAGCCCCCUGGGCCAAUACUGACGCUCAUGCACGAAAGCGUGGGGAGCAAACAGGAUUAGAUACCCCCGUAGUCCCUGUCUCUUAUAC